RNAcentral lists this long non-coding RNA (1519 nucleotides) under Pan troglodytes (chimpanzee). RNAcentral's name for it is "long non-coding RNA NONPTRT002636". The record is from RNAcentral. Lineage: Eukaryota; Metazoa; Chordata; Mammalia; Primates; Hominidae.
GACCGAUGGAGCGCAGCCAAGCUGCAACUCUCAACAGCGCUGGGGGGCCUACUGGGUGCCGGCUUCGCCAUCUGUACCCAGUCCCCCAAGGGAAGGAGACGGCAGCCUGGGUCCUGCCCUUCACCUCUGGCGGCUUUCUCUACAUCGCCUUGGUGAACGUGCUCCCUGACCUCUUGGAAGAAGAGGACCCGUGGUGAGUGACCUGUUGGAGGAAGAGGACUGCCACUCACAGGACCCUUAGGGGCUCAGGAGGGAAGGGCUCCUGGCCGCUGCCUGCUCCCCCUGCCCAUGCCUCCACCGUGAGCCGUUCCCUCCCCACAGGCGCUCCCUGCAGCAGCUGCUUCUGCUCUGUGCGGGCAUCGUGGUAAUGGUGCUGUUCUCGCUCUUCGUGGAUUAACUUUCCCUGAUGCCGACGCCCCUGCCCCCUGCAGCAAUAAGAUGCUCGGAUUCACUCUGUGACCGCAUAUGUGAGAGGCAGAGAGGGCGAGUGGCUGCGAGAGAGAAUGAGCCUCCCGCCAGACAGGAGGGAGGUGCGUGUGGAUGUAUGUGGUGUGCACAUGUGGCCAGAGGCGUGUGUGUGAGACCGACACUGUGAUCCCUGUGCUGGGUCCGGGGCCCAGUGUAGCGCCUGUCCCCAGCCAUGCUGUGGUUACCUCUCCGUGCCGCCCUGUCACCUUCACCUCCCGGAGUAAGCAGCGAGGAACAGCAGCACUGGUCCCAAGCAGAGGCCUUGCCCUGCUGGGACCCCGGGAGUGAGAGCAGCCCAAGGAUCCCAGGAUGCAGGGAACUCCAGAGCUGCCCACCUCCCACUGCCCCCUCAGCACACACACAGUCCCCAGGUGGCCUAGGGGCCAAGGCUGGGGCGGCUUUGGUCCCUUUUCCUGGCCCUUCCUUCCCCACUUCUAAGCCAAAGAAAGGAGAGGCAGGUGCUCCUGUACCCCAGCCCCACUCAGCACUGACAGUCCCCAGCUCCUAGUAGUGAGCUGGGAGGCGCUUCCUAAGACCCUUUCCUCAGGGCUGCCCUGGGAGCUCAUUCCUGGCCAACACGCCCUGGCAGCACCAGCAGCUCUUGCCACCUCCAGCUGCCAAACAGCAGCCUGCCGGGCAGGGAGCAGCCCCAGGCCAGAGAGGCCUCCCGGUCCAGCUCAGGGAUGCUCCUGCCAGCACAGGGGCCAGGGACUCCUGGAGCAGGCACAUAGUGAGCCCGGGCAGCCCUCCCCAGCUCAGGCCCCUCUCCUUCCCCAUUGAGGUUGGGGUAGGUGGGGGCGGUGAGGGCUCCACGUUGUCAGCGCUCAGGAAUGUGCUCCGGCAGAGUGCUGAAGCCAUAAUCCCCAACCAUUUCCCUUGGCUGACGCCCAGGUACUCAGCUGGCCCACUCCACAGCCAGGCCUGGCCCUGCCCUUCACCGUGGAUGUUUUCAGAAGUGGCCAUCGAGAGGUCUGGAUGGUUUUAUAGCAACUUUGCUGUGAUUCCGUUUGUAUCUGUAAAUAUUUGUUCUAUAGAUAAGAUACAAAUAAAU